AUGAGAUUGAAGCUGCAGGGAAGCAUGAGAGCCCUUCAAUUGCUGAGGAGGCCGUCCUGCGAGAAGUCGGUCAACGCAUGUCAGUGGAACUGUAAGAUCAAUACGAUCAACAGGAGGCCGCCUGAGUUGCAGGUAUUCUUCCGUAAAUGUAUGUUGUGCCGGAUCAAGACAGCCUUGCUGUUGUUUUUUUUCGAGAGUACGCAAAUUGUGUACCAUAGCUUUAUAGAAGGAGAGAAAAUUAGUACAUGGCAUCUAUCACUCGCUGCGAACAACGAGCAUAGCACGACACCACAUCCGGAUAUCUUCAGGACAACCACACACAACAACACAACUACAACACGGAAAACCUGCCCAAAACCGAAACACCUCGCCGCGUCUUGA
This 381-nucleotide ribosomal RNA is filed under the name Triticum aestivum (bread wheat). Its description in RNAcentral is "partial small subunit ribosomal RNA". The record is from RNAcentral. Lineage: Eukaryota; Viridiplantae; Streptophyta; Magnoliopsida; Poales; Poaceae.